This is a long non-coding RNA of Acanthochromis polyacanthus (spiny chromis), 2164 nucleotides long. RefSeq lists it as uncharacterized. The record is from RefSeq and is a predicted model, not a curated record. NCBI's taxonomy places the organism in Eukaryota, Metazoa, Chordata, Actinopteri, Pomacentridae. The transcript has 2 exons.
GUGUGAGGUGGUUUUAUUUGGGUUCCAGCACAUAUGGGUGUGGAGGGCAAUGAGGAAGCAGAUAGCUUGGCACAAAGAGCAACCAAGGAGGAAAGAAUACAAUUUGAUUUACCACAUGGAAAGACAGAUUAUGACUCUGUCUUUAACAAACUAGUCAAAGAAAUAUGGCAGAACAAAAGAAGAGGGGGACUGAUUUUGCUAUUCAAGGUAAAAUGGGAAAAGUAAGAAGGCACUUCGGUGGUGCAAGAAGAGACUCAAUUGUUGUAACCUGGCUAAGACUCAGACACUGCAGUCUGAAAAGUGGACUGGCUUUGAUUGGGAAGCACAGAGAUAGGAACUGUGAGUGUGGUGAACUAGAAACUGAGAAAUGUUCCUAAGUGUAAGCUCUACUCAUGCCAACAGAAGAAACAUUAGAGACUAGGAGCAGCUGGACGAACUGUUUUUAAUCUUUGCUUACUACUUAACACGGAGGAGUGGACAAAUAUGAAGAAACUUCUGAACUUACUCAUGACCACAGGACUGCAUAAGAAAAUAUCGAGGAUUCUCUAAGGACUAUGAAUAACAUCCAGUAGGUGGCAGCAAUACGCCAGUGAUGAGUCUCGUCCGCCUAAUUCAAUGAGGAAGAAGAAAGUAACUCAGUGUUUCUGCCGGAACUUCACAGUGUGACACCCGGCGGAUGUAAACAAAGAAGCAUGAGCAGAGUUAGCUUCACUACUGUGUGGAGUGAGCUCUAAAACGGCCGUAUUAUAGUAUGAAUGAGAAAUAUCAGAGCGUUAAAGUAACGAUGUGUUCAGUUGAGUAUCUGAGAGAGUUGAUCAGCGACAGACUAGCUGCUGCUGCUGGAGAAAUAUUCACAGAGUUUGAAAAAACCAUCGUCCAGUACCAGGAGGAGAUCGAUCGUCAGCGCAGACUGCUGGAUGUCAUCUGGAAACCACACAUCCCCUUACAGCUCAUAGAGCUCCCACAGUCUUAUGUCUGUGAGAAUGAGAAGACUGUCGUUGACCAUCAGCCCCAUGACCAGGACAGAAACUCCAUGGUGGACCAUGAGGACCCAGAGCCUCUACGGAUUAAAUACCAGCAGGAGAAACUCUGCACCAGUGAGGAGGAAGGGCAACCAAAACCAAACAGUGAUCAGCUCCUGUUUCACAUCUCUUGUGUAGCUGAGAGCCCAGAUCAGGAAGGAAGCAAGGAUGUAGACUCAGGAUCAACUAGAUGUAUAGAGCAGAAACCAAGACAUCAGAGUAACAGCAGUCACAGUAAUGAUGUAGACAAUGCUCCAACGUCAGAGAGACAGUGUGAUAAUGACAAGGCAAGAAAAUCUGCAACAUGCGAGUUCUGUGGAAAAGCUUUUAGGUAUAAGUCAGAUUUAGCCACACAUCACAGAACCCACACAGGUGAGAAGCCAUAUUCUUGUGACACCUGUGCUAAAAGCUUCAGGCAACGGGCCCAUUUGACUGCCCACAUGAGGCGUCACAUGGGUUUGAAGCCGUAUCCUUGUAAAAUCUGAGGAAAAAGAUUUUCUGGCACAUUAGCACAUUAUAAACACUUGGCAGUUCACAAGGAGGAGAAAUAAUUUUCUUAUGGAAUAUGUGGGGAAUGUUUCUGUCUUUCACAUCGAUUAAAAGCCCACAUGAGAAUCCACACGUGAGAAGUCGUGAUCCUGAAACUUCUGUGGAAAAAAAUAAUGUGGGAACUUAGUUUAAAACAACAUGCAAGAAUUGGUACAGUUUAAACAUAGGUCUUUGAGAUUUACAGCAUGUUUAGACUGUACUUCAACAACAAUUGUGAGGAAGUAUGUCAGCAAUCCUUGAUGAUUAGACCAGAUGGAGUCUGGACUGUGGUGGUAAUGCAGUAUUUAGAAGAACCAAGCUGAGCAUAUGAAUGGACUGAAAUGGAGCAACACUACCAAUGAGCUCUUUGAUACUGGUUCAGGUGAAGUCUCGAGAUGGGUUGAGAGGGGGGCGUAUUGAUCUGACAUCUGACAGCAGAUAAAUGCUCCAUAUUUUAAGCCUUCAUUUGAGAUUAAAUGUGAAACAGACGAUGCUGCUAGUUUUGCCUUUUGUGGAUGAAUGUUGUUUUGUUGUAAAUUUCAAUGUCUUUGUGUGACUUGAAAGCUUCACAGUAUGGUUUUCAAAAUAAAGAGUUGAUGUUGAAAAACUCUUAA